CUAAAAUGUUCCACUGCAGAAGAAAGUAACAUUUUUCUGAACUUAACAUGCUACAAACUGUCCAUUUAUAUUAAUUUUUAUUUCUUAGCUUUAUCCUUAUCACCUCCUAGUUACUGGUAAUUACCGCCUGCCUCCAGAUGUUGACAGGUGUCAUUUAGAACGUCACCUUUCAAAUGAAGAAUUCCAAGCUAUAUUCCAUAUGUCUCGAUUAGAAUUUUAUCGUUUACCCGAAUGGCGAAGGAAUGAUUUGAAGAAAAGAGCUAAGCUAUUUUAAAUUGACAUUUUUAGUAUGGCAAUAAAAUUGCCGGAAACUUUGUUGUAAAUUUUGAACCAAAAAGAGGUGCUUUUAUACUGCUUUUCCCUUGUUACUAGUUUGAAACAUUCAGCUGCAAUCUAGCAACAUUUAAAUUAAAACAACCUGGAAGGAAAAUAUUAUUUUUAACUUUAAUAAGUGUUAGCUUCCAGAGCUAUUGAUAUUAUUUGACAAUGAAGAUUAUGUACUUCAUGACAGUCAUUUUGUAUAAAUUGCUUAUAAUGUGUUUUAAGCUAAUAAAAUAUUCCUUAUUUUAUAAUUGGAUUUCAUAUGUGUGCUGUGAUUAUCAUAAAAAUAUUUUAGCAUAAGUUUGUUUUUAUAAUUUUAUUGUACAUAUAGCAUUCUGUGUUUUAUAUCUUUUUAUAGCUUUCCUAGUUUAGCACAUGAGUUCCUGAAAUGUUUUCUAUUUUGCAUUGCUGUAGUCUCAUUUCAAAAGCAUGUAAUGCAGAGAUGAAAUAAUGUGCUAUACUGAAUCUCUAAUUCAUGAAAUAAAAAAUUAAUUUUUCUUCUCAGCCAGUGAAACACCUGUGUUUAAAAAUGAAAGGCAUAAAAUAAAUUUGAUAAUUUCUUUAAAAAUUAGAAAUUGCAUAUUCUGUUUUUGUAACAUUUCCAUUUUACAUUUUCAUAGAUAUAAAAAAUUUAUAUUCAUUUUCAUGUUUUGAAAAGCUCUUCUUCUAUACUGCUCUUAUUUUAUUUGCAUUUCAAAGCAAAACUAUGUUGUGUGAAAGGAGUAGCAUGACUGUAGAAAGAACUGCUCAAGACUUAGUGCCUGUUUGUAGCCUUGCAGCUUGGCAUGUCUCUUCCUCACUUAGUCAUUAUGUACUCCGUCCAGUUUCCCUUUCACAUAAAGGUGCUGAAAAAUUUGGGCAGUUUCUCUUUUUCUGUAUUUAAAAUUUUAACAAGCCAGUCUUACAUAGUGAAAUUGAAAUUUUCAAAGGUAUUAUUUGAGUAAGUUAGACAAGAAUAUGUAUUUGAUUAUAUGUAUGUAUCAUGUUCUUGAUUCAAAAUUAGUAUGAUAAAAAAUCAUUUUUAAUUUAUUAAACGAAAAUCACUAUUAUGAUUAUAUGAAAAUUACUUGGAGUAAGAACAAAAUUUUAUGUAUAAUUGUGUGCAACUUAAGUCUCAUUCAUUCAGUACUUUUUAACCUUGAAUUGUCAUUUCUGAAGAGGGAUAUUUGUACCAUAUACUCUAUUGUACUGUGUAUGUGGUUAUUAACUUGUGUGUACUAUAUUGCUAAUAUUGAUAAACUUGCUGUCAUUGGGAUGAAUACGUUGUUUUCAUACGAAAAAAAUUGUAUAAUGAAAGUAGUGUAUUUAACUAAAGGAUAUAUAAAAUUCAAAAGUAUUAAUUUAUCUUGGUUAGUUUUGCUUUGAUUUAAAAAAGUGCAAAAUACAAAAUUUAAUCUCGAGAAAAUGAUUUUUUAUUAUCAAAAUUUGUAAUUUCUGAUAAAAAAAUCGAAAUUUCAUUUUUUAAUGAGUGACUCGUAUCAUAAUAUGAUGUAUUUAAAAAGUCUUAUUUUUAAAAAUGUAUUAAAACUAAUGUAAACCCAAAUUUUGGAGUUUGAAAUUGCAUAAGAUGUAGUUUUAAAAUUAUAAAUGUUUUACCUGUUAUCCAUUUUUUAAGUAUUAUAUUAAAUUGCUGCACAAUCUCGUAAGUAAUUUGAAGUUACUAUUUCGAUUAAUUUUUCAAGCUUCAACAAUGUUUAAGUCUCUUAUUUAUAGAAAAUUGAUAACACUAAAACUGUAAAAAAACAAAUUAAAUACAUUCAAUUAAAUAAAAAUCUAUACUGUGUUUGAUUCAUAUAAAAGGGCUUGACUUAAAAUCAGUACUAGAUGCAUUUUCAUUCAAUUGAUGAAUUUACAUGCUUUUCUUCGUAGUGAUAUUGCUUUUUUAGUAUGGUUAAUUUUUAUUGUUCUGUAUAAAGUUUGUGGUGUUAUUGUAACUUGACUCUAUGAACCAAACCCUGUGAAGAAUGACUAUAUUAUCACGACUGUAUUUAGAAAACAUUAAAUGCAUUCUAUUUAAAA
This is a long non-coding RNA of Stegodyphus dumicola, 2340 nucleotides long. Lineage: Eukaryota; Metazoa; Arthropoda; Arachnida; Araneae; Eresidae. The record is from RefSeq and is a predicted model, not a curated record.